GCACUGCUGAGGAGUCCUAUACUAGGACGAAACAACUGUCCAAUAC
RNAcentral lists this non-coding RNA (46 nucleotides) under Schistosoma bovis. RNAcentral also lists the same sequence under 1 other name. Lineage: Eukaryota; Metazoa; Platyhelminthes; Trematoda; Strigeidida; Schistosomatidae. The record is from RNAcentral.